Molecule: long non-coding RNA, 211 nt
Filed under: Mytilus galloprovincialis (Mediterranean mussel)
Lineage: Eukaryota; Metazoa; Mollusca; Bivalvia; Mytilida; Mytilidae
Source: RNAcentral
AAAUCAUGCCAUUAUUGCCUAAAUCGACCGAAAAUGAAGUUGUAAUAUACUAUUUCAUAGGAAGUACAGUAGCCGGUAUAAGAGAAUAAUAUUGAACGAUGUCUUUAUCAAUAGAUAAGUUACAUAACCUUUUUUACGGCGUAUACGUAUGAAUAUUGGCGUAUUUGUUUGUCUAGAAGUAGAGCUAUAUUGAGAACACUUUGUUCGUCUG